Molecule: unclassified non-coding RNA, 150 nt
Filed under: soil metagenome
Description: partial internal transcribed spacer 1
Source: RNAcentral
UAAUAAGUGUUUUAUGGCACUUUUUUAAAUCCAUAUCCACCCUUGUGUGCAAUGUCGGUCGAUCUUCUUUUUUUUGAGGAUCGACCAAACAUCAACCUUUAUUUUUUAACUCUUUGUCUGAAAAAUAUUAUGAAUAAACAAUUCAAAAUA